UACGGGGGGGGUAAGCGUUGUUCGGAAUUACUGGGCGUAAAGGGCUCGUAGGCGGCCAACUAAGUCAGACGUGAAAUCCCUCAGCUUAACUGGGGAACUGCGUCUGAUACUGGAUGGCUUGGAUUUGGGAGAGGGAUGCGGAAUUCCAGGUGUAGCGGUGAAAUGCGUAGAUAUCUGGAGGAACACCGGUGGCGAAGGCGGGUCUCUGGGCCGAUACUGACGCUGAGGAGCGAAAGCGUGGGGAGCGAACAGG
Molecule: ribosomal RNA, 253 nt
Filed under: uncultured bacterium
Lineage: Bacteria
Description: partial 16S ribosomal RNA
Rfam family: Bacterial small subunit ribosomal RNA
Source: RNAcentral